AUACGUAGGGGGCGAGCGUUGUCCGGAAUGAUUGGGCGUAAAGGGCGCGUAGGCGGCCCGGUAAGUCUGGAGUGAAAGUCCUGUUUUUAAGAUGGGAAUUGCUUUGGAUACUGUCGGGCUUGAGUGCAGGAGAGGUAAGUGGAAUUCCCAGUGUAGCGGUGAAAUGCGUAGAGAUUGGGAGGAACACCAGUGGCGAAGGCGAAUAACGGGACUGUACCUGACGCUGAGGGGCAAAAGUGUGGGGAGCAACCAGGAUUAGAUACCCGGGUAGCCCACACGGUAAACGAUAAAUGCUAGGGGUAGGGGGUUUCGACCCCUUCGGGGCGGCAGUCAACCCAAUAAGAAUUCGGCCGGGGAGUACGGCCGCAAGGUUGAAACUCAAAUGAAUUGACGGGG
This 396-nucleotide ribosomal RNA is filed under the name uncultured bacterium. RNAcentral describes it as "partial 16S ribosomal RNA". It matches the Rfam family "Bacterial small subunit ribosomal RNA", at positions 523 to 918 of the family's 1533-position model. The record is from RNAcentral.